RNAcentral lists this ribosomal RNA (253 nucleotides) under uncultured bacterium. Its description in RNAcentral is "partial 16S ribosomal RNA". It matches the Rfam family "Bacterial small subunit ribosomal RNA", at positions 524 to 776 of the family's 1533-position model. The record is from RNAcentral.
UACAGAGGGUGCGAGCGUUAAUCGGAAUUACUGGGCGUAAAGCGUGCGUAGACGGUUCUGUAAGUCGGAUGUGAAAGCCCCGGGCUCAACCUGGGAACUGCAUUUGAGACUGCUCUGCUCGGGUGCGGAAGAGGGAAGCGGAAUUUCCGGUGUAGCGGUGAAAUGCGUAGAUAUCGGAAGGAACACCAGUGGCGAAAGCGGCUUCCUGGUCCUACACCGACGUUCAGGCACGAAAGCGUGGGGAGCAAACAGG